GAGAGAGAGAGAGAGAGAGAGAGAGAGAGAGAGAGAGAGAGAGAGAGAGAGAGAGCCACACUACUGUCAACAGCGAGCAACUAGUGUGUGUGUGUGUGUGUGUGUGUGUGUGUGUGUGUGUGUGUGUGUGUGCAACAUGACACGACUAAAGCCGAACAGCGCCCCGCCUCACCCCGAGCCAUGACUGAAGAAAUUAAGAGGUACGGAAACUAUCAGAAAGAAAGGGGUGACAGGAUCGAACGUAAAGCAAACAUGAAGAGAGACAUGAAGAAAGAGACAUGAUGAAGGUAUUGCAGAGGGAGACAGACUAAAAAGGUAGAGAACGGGACAGCAGGAAUGUAAAGGAGAGGGAAGCAGCAGUAAAUGUAGCUGGGUAUGAGAAGGGAAAAGAGGUAAGCAGGAGACAGAUGAUAGGAAAGGAAGAGAGGACAGGAAAAGGAGAGAAACAAAGGUGGGAAAAGGAGAGAGAAAGGGAGAGAGAAAGGUAGGAAAAGGAGAGAGAGAAGGUAGGAAAGGGAGAUUGAAGGUAGGAAAAAGAGAGAGAGGGUAGGAAAGGGAGAGAAACAAAGGUAGGAAAAGGAGAGAUAUGAAAGGUCGGAAAGGGAGAAAGGUAGGAAAAGGAGAGAGAGAAGGUAGGAAAGGGAGAUUGAAGGUAGGAAAAAGAGAGAGAGGGUAGGAAAGGGAGAGAAACAAAGGUAGGAAAAGGAGAGAUAUGAAAGGUAGGAAAGGGAGAGAGAAAGGUAGGAAAGGGAGAGAGAAAGGUAGGGAAGGGAGAGAAAGGUAGGGAAGGGAGAGAGAAAGGUAGGAAAGGGAGAGAGAAAGGUAGGAAAGGGAGAGAAAGGUAGGAAAGGGAGAGAGAAAGGUAGGAAAAGGAGAGAAAGGUAGGAAAAGGAGAGAUAUGAAAGGUAGGAAAGGGAGAGAGAAAGGUAGGAAAGGGAGAGAGAAAGGUAGGAAAGGGAGAGAGAAAGGUAGGAAAGGGAGAGAGAAAGGUAGGAAAAGGAGAGAGAAAGGUAGGAAAGGGAGAGAGAAAGGUAGGAAAGGGAGAGAGAAAGGUAGGAAAAGGAGAGAGAAAGGUAGGAAAGGGAGAGAGAAAGGUAGGAAAGGGAGAGAAAGGUAGGAAAAGGAGAGAAAGGUAGGAAAAGGAGAGAUAUGAAAGGUAGGAAAGGGAGAGAGAAAGGUAGGAAAGGGAGAGAGAAAGGUAGGAAAAGGAGAGAGAAAGGUAGGAAAGGGAGAGAAAGGUAGGAAAGGGAGAGAGAAAGGUAGGAAAGGGAGAGAGAAAGGUAGGAAAGGGAGAGAGAAAGGUAGGAAAGGGAGAGAGAAAGGUAGGAAAGGGAGAGAGAAAGGUAGGAAAAGGAGAGAUAUGAAAGGUAGGAAAGGGAGAGAGAAAGGUAGAAAAGGGAGAGAGAAGGUAGGGAAAGGAGAGAGAAGGUAGGAAAGGGAGGUAGAAGGUAGGAAAGAGGCAGAAAGUAGAAAAGGGAAACAGAAGGCAGUAAUGAGAGGUAGAAAGUUGAAAAGAAAUGUAGAGGGCAGGAAAAGAAGACAGUAAAAAGAUACAGGAGGUAGAAAAGGGAGAGACAGGAGUUGGGAGAGGGAGGCAAAGGGCAGGGAAGGGAGACAGGAGGUGGGUGUGACUGGAUGCUGCAGCGAGGAGUGGGGUGGGGCAGGAGCAGGUGUACCAAGGUGGGGCAAGGCUUGGCAGGGCGGGGCAACACAAAAGCGAGUCCUAGAUAAGACAAACCAUUCCUUGCGCCCUGUCCCCUGCUGCCCCAAGGAGCUAACACACAGGUGAGUCCCUGUGGCGGGGCCGGGAUACUCGAUUCACGUCCACCAAAUCGUACGCAACAUUCCAAACAGCACUCACAUCAUGGAAAAACAACAAAAACAACAACAACUCAACACUUGAAGAUGAAGCUGAUGUAUAAAAACAAACUAUUUUCAAGAUUAAGAUUGCUAACCAUCAUUUUAUAGUUCAUUUUUUAUACAUCGGCUCAAUAUUCUGAAGUUGUUUAUGUUUCUGGUGUAAGUACUGAUCGGAGUGGUGCAUACGGGUUGAUGAACAUGCCCCAAGUGAGCAGGUACAGAGCAUGGGGCAGGAGGAGGCGGGGCACCAGGGCGGGGCAACAUUACGGGUCAAAGGUGGGGCUCUUACACUGUUGAUGCGCGCGCCCCUCCAGCUCGCGGAUGAGAGCAGCGUGUUCAGCCUCCAGCGGCUUGGAUCCGAGAGUAUUAACACAAUUCAAAGUACUCCUGAAACGCAAUACAAAGGGUCAUGUGUUGCUGCUGAUGACAAUGGUGGUGGUGGUGGUGGUGGUAGUUAUGGUGAUGGUGGUGAUGUUGAUGGUGGUGAUGAUGGAGGUGGGAGUGAUGUUGGUGAGGGUGAUGAUGCUUCUGUUGGUCUACACUACACACACACACACACACACACACACACACACAUACACACACAAAUAC
This is a long non-coding RNA of Eriocheir sinensis (Chinese mitten crab), 2451 nucleotides long. RefSeq lists it as uncharacterized. Lineage: Eukaryota; Metazoa; Arthropoda; Malacostraca; Decapoda; Varunidae. The record is from RefSeq and is a predicted model, not a curated record. The transcript has 5 exons.